AAGACUAUACUUCUAGGGAUCAUUUCUAUAGUGUUUAACUAGAGGAAUGUGUUUCGUGAAAGUUUGGUCUCGCUAGUCACGAUGAUGAGCGGUGGUGUUCCCUUCCGAACGAGAGCCGUGUAAAAGAAUGUGUUCUAUCAUGUUCUUUUGUAUCGAUGAUCGUUUUGUUUCACAUUAGUGAAACAAGAGGAAGGGAGCACGGUCUGAGUGAU
This is a small nucleolar RNA of Megalops cyprinoides (Indo-Pacific tarpon), 212 nucleotides long. RefSeq annotates it as small nucleolar RNA U3. The record is from RefSeq and is a predicted model, not a curated record. The transcript has a single exon. Lineage: Eukaryota; Metazoa; Chordata; Actinopteri; Elopiformes; Megalopidae.